This 3659-nucleotide ribosomal RNA is filed under the name Bipolaris cookei. RNAcentral describes it as "SSU rRNA". The stretch from base 1 to 1658 matches the Rfam family "Bacterial small subunit ribosomal RNA". The record is from RNAcentral. Lineage: Eukaryota; Fungi; Ascomycota; Dothideomycetes; Pleosporales; Pleosporaceae.
UUUUAUUUGAGUUUGAUGAUGGCUCUGAGUGAACGCUAUGUAAAUGCUUGACACAUGCUAAUCGAACGUCAAUAUUUAAUUUGUAUAAAUUAUGUAUAUUGAAGUGGUGUACAGGUGAGUAAGUGGUAUUAUGGCUACCUAAGAGUAAGGCAAAAUAAAUCCCUUAUAAUAACCAUUUAUUAUUAGUUAUUAACACUAGAUCUAAUCACCCAGUGGUCGAUUAUAUUGAAAAGUUUAGAUAUAAAGGUUAAUAAUAUUAAUACUAAAUGUGUUUAAAAGAAAUAGUAUUUCGCUCUUAGUUGAUUAUUAAUAACCAUCGGAUAAGUAGUAAGUAUGGUAAUGGCAUAUUUAGCUUGUGUCCGUAGUCAAGACUGAGAGGUCUAUUGACCACACUGGGUCUGAAAAAACCCCAGUGCGUGUAGUACAGCAGUGAGGAAUUUUGGUCAAUGGCCUAACGGCUGAACCAGCAACUUGCAGGAAUGAGAGUUAAUAUAAUAAGUUUAUUAACUUGCUUGACUAGGUCUUAUAAAGUUCUGGAUAAAGCUUAUUAUGAAAACUUUAUAUCCAUAGGUCUCGACCAAAUCUUGUGCCAGCAGUCGCGGUAAGACAAGGGAGACGAGUGUUAUUCAUCUUUAACAGGUAUAUAGGGUACCUAGACGGUGUGCAAUGGCUUAAAUAAGUACCUGGUACACUUGAGUUUGAUAUGUGAGAGGAAUAUGUCGGAAUUGUUGGAGGAAAGAUGAAAUUUGUUAAUACCAAUAGGACUGAUAACGGCGAAGGCAAACCUCUAUGUACAUGUACUUGCUAUCUCUCUAUUAGAGAGGAACAGAAAUUUCUCUUAUAAAAAAUCUUAUAUAAAAAAAGAGGAAAACAGCAAUGUGCUAUAACUGACGUUGAGGGACGAAGGCUCAGAGAGUGAAGAGGAUUAGAUACCCCCGUAACCUGGGCAGACAAUGAUGAGUGCCAUAGGUUGGCUUUAAGGCGGAACUAUAAAUGAAAGUGGAAGCACUCCACCUCAAGAGUAAUGUGGCAACGCAGGAACUGAAAUCAUUAGACCGUUUCUGAAACCAGUAGUGAAGUAUGUUAUUUAAUUCGAUGAUCCGCGAAUAACCUUACCACAAUUUGAAUGACCUAAAAUAUUUUUUUUGAAUUUUUAGACCACAUGCGUUGCAUGGCUGUCUUCAGUUAAUGUCGUGAGAUUUGGUUAGGUCCAUUAAAUUAACGUAAACCCUUGUUUUAUUUAUUACAAUAAAGCAGCUCUCCGCUUACAAUUGGAUGUGAUAAUAGGGACUAAGACAAGUCAUCAUGGCCUUAAUAUUGUGGGCUAUAGACGUGCCACAUGUGCCUUUACAAAGGGAUGCAAUAAUGCGAAUUGGAGCUAAUCCCUAAAAUAGGAUAAAGUAUGGAUUGUAGUCUGAAAUUCGACUGCAUGAAAAAGGAAUUACUAGUAAUCGUGAGUAAUCACAUCACGGUGAAUUUUAUCUCAGAUAGGUACUAACCACUCGUCAGGCGCUGAAAGGAGUAUGUGCAAUAAGUUUGGUGGCUGCGGAUUGCUAGUCUAAAUGUACAGGUUUAGAUCUUUUGGCAGAAAUAUCUUCGUAUGCGUGACUCUAAUUGGUGUUAAGUCGAAAACCAAAAAGAAAUUGAGACCUUCUUUUUAUUUUUCUAAAAAUACCAAAUUCCGGGAAUACCCUAAAGCAGUUUAUGCCAAGUCUACGUAUGAAACAAUAAAAGUAGAUGGCCUUUCGUAAUGGAAAGGGUAUGGCAAUAAUUUAACUGAUGAAUCGAAAGAUUGAAUGGGCUACCGCGGAUCUAAAUUGACUCUAUCUUAAGUAUUAUUAUGUAUAGUAGAUAGAUCAUAAAAGAGCAACGAGCAGAUGGUAUUUGUAGGUCCACUGAUUACAGAUAGUGUAAUCGAAAACGGAAGUAAUUUUACUACAUUAGUAUGAAUUUUAUUUCCGAAGUCUAGGUUCUGAAUAGUUCCAAGGUGGAAUAUUAAGGUAUGCUCUAAAUAAAGUAAAAAAACUUUAAUUUACUUCGUCUCAGAUCUAAAUACAAGGUAAAUACUUUGUACAUGGUCGAAGAAGUAUUAGCUGAUACGGUUCGGGUUGGGGAACUAGCCCGGGAUAAAUGAACAUUAACGAUACACCCAAAAAAAAAAAAAAAGAGCUCGAUUUAGUCUGGAAGGAGUUAGGUAUAGCUAACCAAUUUAAGGGUGCAAAUCCCUUAGCUCUUACAUGAAAAGAAUAAUAUUUAGAAUAUGAUAUAAUUACAAUUUGGUUAGCGUAAUGCUAUUUAUUUUUGUGGGCUUUGUUUUUGUCCCUUAUUUUCGGCCGUCUCUAUUUGGACUCUCAGAUGAUAUUGUUUUACUUUCAACUUUACCUGUUGUAGUAAAAGGAGGUAAUGAAUUACACAAUGAAUAUGUGGUGGGAUUAUGUGAUGCGGAGGCCACGUUUACUAUCUCUGUUGCAAAAGAUAAUCGAACAAGAAAAACCUCUCGUUCAUUAGAUAGUUCUAGAACUAUUUACUCUGUUCAUCCUUCUUUUGCUAUUUCUUUGAAUAUUAAAGAUUGACACCUUAUUUGUAGUUUACAGUCAUUUUUUGGAGUAGGUAAUAUAAAAAAAGAUUUAAAGAAUAAUGCUAUUACUUUUUAUGUUAAUUCCGUGGAGGAUUUAUUGAAUGUGGUGAUUCCUUUCUUUAAAGCCCAUCCUUUACUUUCUCGUUUUUUUUUUCGACGUAAUUUAGAUGAAAUUACUAUCCCUGCGGGAUGAGCCCCAUCGGGGAUCUUCCCGGGAGAAAAGGGCUAGAAAAAAAAAAAUAAAGUGAGCAGAUUUUGUUUUAUUUGAAAAAGCUGUUUAUUUAAUUAAACAGGGUGCACAUCUUACAACAGACGGUCUUACUAAUAUCAUAAGUAUUAAAGCUUCUAUGAAUAAAGGUUUAUCUGAUAAAUUAUUGGCUCAAUUUCCCGACAUAUCUUUAGUGGAGAGACCUGUGCUAAUAGAUAGAAGGAUUAUAAAUGGUAAUUGAUUAGCAGGUUUUACUUUAUUUUUUUUUCUUUUGCUUUAAAUCCACAACGAAUCAUGAGCAAAAGAAAAAAAAAAAUCAGGAGAAGGAUCUUUCUAUAUACGUAUUAAGGAGGCUAUUUCUGCAAAAAGUAUUAACCGUGUUUCCUUUUUCUUUUCUAUAAACCAGUCCAUUAGAGAUAGUGAUUUAAUUUAUGAUAUAUCUAAGUUUUUAGAUUGUGGUACUGUAAGCAGUAAUCAAAAAUAUAUUCAAUUUAGAGUAACUAAAUUUGAAGAUGUUGAAACAAAGAUUAUUCCAUUCUUUAAAAAUUACCCUAUGCAUGGUAUUAAAAACUUAAAUUACCUCUCCCAGCGGGAGCUCCUUAGAGCUCCUGCGGAGCUCCGCAGGAGAGAUCUUUGUAAAAUUAUGGAAUUGGUACAAUCUAAAGUUCAUAUGACUACAAAAGGUAUAAAUGAAAUUAAAACUAUAAAAGAAGGUAUGAAUUUUGGUAGAACGUAAUACUUAUAUUAACCGUUUUUUAAUAGACGCGUAUAUACUUAUGUACCAAUCAUACAUCUUUACUCAUCUACUGAAAUAGGUAUUGUUUUUAUUUUUUUUGUUCGGGUUGGGGAACUAGCCCGGGAUUAAUGAAUAUU